RNAcentral lists this ribosomal RNA (361 nucleotides) under Spongiactinospora rosea. RNAcentral describes it as "bacterial LSU rRNA". It matches the Rfam family "Bacterial large subunit ribosomal RNA", at positions 2572 to 2925 of the family's 2925-position model. Lineage: Bacteria; Bacillati; Actinomycetota; Actinomycetes; Streptosporangiales; Streptosporangiaceae. The record is from RNAcentral.
UGGGCUGUUCGCCCAUUAAAGCGGUACGCGAGCUGGGUUUAGAACGUCGCGAGACAGUUCGGUCCCUAUCCGCUGCGCGCGUAGGAGACUUGAAGGGGGCUGUCCCUAGUACGAGAGGACCGGGACGGACGAACCUCUGGUGUGCCAGUUGUAUCGCCAGGUGCAUGGCUGGUUGGCUACGUUCGGGAAGGAUAACCGCUGAAGGCAUCUAAGCGGGAAGCUUGCCUUGAGAUGAGGUCUCCCUCCCACGAAGGUGGGGUAAGGCUCCCGGUGGAUGACCGGGUUGAUAGGCUGGUGGUGGAAGCGUUGUGAGGCGUGGAGCUGACUGGUACUAAUAGGCCGAGGACUUGACCACAACAAA